UGGGGAAUAUUGCACAAUGGGCGCAAGCCUGAUGCAGCAACGCCGCGUGAACGAUGAAGGUCUUCGGAUCGUAAAGUUCUGUUGCAGGGGAAGAUAAUGACGGUACCCUGUGAGGAAGCCCCGGCUAACUACGUGCCAGCAGCCGCGGUAAUACGUAGGGGGCUAGCGUUAUCCGGAUUUACUGGGCGUAAAGGGUGCGUAGGAGGUCUUUCAAGUCGGUGGUUAAAGGCUACGGCUCAACCGUAGUUAGCCUCCGAAACUGGAAGACUUGAGUGCAGGAGAGAAAAGUGGAAUUCCUAGUGUAGCGGUGAAAUGCGUAGAGAUUAGGAGGAACACCGGUGGCGAAAGCGGCUUUUUGGCCUGCAACUGACACUGAGGCGCGAAAGCGUGGGGAGCAAACAGG
RNAcentral lists this ribosomal RNA (403 nucleotides) under Verrucomicrobiota bacterium. RNAcentral describes it as "Verrucomicrobia bacterium partial 16S ribosomal RNA". It matches the Rfam family "Bacterial small subunit ribosomal RNA", at positions 355 to 776 of the family's 1533-position model. Lineage: Bacteria; Pseudomonadati; Verrucomicrobiota. The record is from RNAcentral.